This 253-nucleotide ribosomal RNA is filed under the name uncultured bacterium. Its description in RNAcentral is "partial 16S ribosomal RNA". It matches the Rfam family "Bacterial small subunit ribosomal RNA", at positions 524 to 776 of the family's 1533-position model. The record is from RNAcentral.
UACGUAGGGUGCAAGCGUUAAUCGGAAUUACUGGGCGUAAAGCGUGCGCAGGCGGUUAUGUAAGACAGGGGGGAAAUCCCCGGGCUUAACCUGGGAACUGCAUUUGUGACUGCAUAGCUAGAGUACGGCAGAGGGGGAUGGAAUUCCGCGUGUAGCAGUGAAAUGCGUAGAUAUCGGGAGGAACACCAGUGGCGCAAGCGGCCGCCUGGCCAUGACCUGACACUGAGCCACGACGGCGUGGGGAGCAAACGGG